AAAAAAUUAGUUUAAAAAAAACAUUAGUAUGUCAAACUAAAAAUAUUAAUAUUUAAUAUUUUUUA
Molecule: transfer RNA, 65 nt
Filed under: Dorylomorpha xanthopus
Lineage: Eukaryota; Metazoa; Arthropoda; Insecta; Diptera; Pipunculidae
Description: tRNA-Asp
Source: RNAcentral